Molecule: transfer RNA, 74 nt
Filed under: Coemansia sp. RSA 1813
Lineage: Eukaryota; Fungi; Kickxellomycota; Kickxellomycetes; Kickxellales; Kickxellaceae
Also listed under: 1 other name
Rfam family: tRNA
About the family: Transfer RNA (tRNA) molecules are approximately 80 nucleotides in length. Their secondary structure includes four short double-helical elements and three loops (D, anti-codon, and T loops). Further hydrogen bonds mediate the characteristic L-shaped molecular structure. tRNAs have two regions of fundamental functional importance: the anti-codon, which is responsible for specific mRNA codon recognition, and the 3' end, to which the tRNAs corresponding amino acid is attached (by aminoacyl-tRNA synthetases). tRNAs cope with the degeneracy of the genetic code in two manners: having more than one tRNA (with a specific anti-codon) for a particular amino acid; and 'wobble' base-pairing, i.e. permitting non-standard base-pairing at the 3rd anti-codon position.
Source: Rfam by way of RNAcentral
UUGGAUGUAGCCAAGUUUGGUAAGGCAUCGAAAUUUGAAUUCGAUUAUCGGGAGUUCAAAUCUCUCCAUCCAAU